RNAcentral lists this ribosomal RNA (253 nucleotides) under uncultured bacterium. RNAcentral describes it as "partial 16S ribosomal RNA". It matches the Rfam family "Bacterial small subunit ribosomal RNA", at positions 524 to 776 of the family's 1533-position model. The record is from RNAcentral.
UACAGAGGUCUCAAGCGUUGUUCGGAUUCAUUGGGCGUAAAGGGUGCGUAGGCGGCGCGGUAAGUCGGGUGUGAAAUCUCGGAGCUUAACUCCGAAACUGCAUUCGAUACUGCCGUGCUUGAGGACUGGAGAGGAGACUGGAAUUUACGGUGUAGCGGUGAAAUGCGUAGAUAUCGUCAAGAACACCGAUAGUGUAGACAGCUUACUAGGCUGAAACUGACGCUGAGGCACGAAAGUGUGGGGAUCAAACAGG